Molecule: ribosomal RNA, 1346 nt
Filed under: uncultured bacterium
Lineage: Bacteria
Description: partial 16S ribosomal RNA
Rfam family: Bacterial small subunit ribosomal RNA
Source: RNAcentral
GACGAACGCUGGCGGCGUGCUUAACACAUGCAAGUCGAACGGAAAGGCCCUGCUUUUGUGGGGUGCUCGAGUGGCGAACGGGUGAGUAACACGUGAGUAACCUGCCCUUGACUUUGGGAUAACUUCAGGAAACUGGGGCUAAUACCGGAUAGGAGCUCCUGCUGCAUGGUGGGGGUUGGAAAGUUUCGGCGGUUGGGGAUGGACUCGCGGCUUAUCAGCUUGUUGGUGGGGUAGUGGCUUACCAAGGCUUUGACGGGUAGCCGGCCUGAGAGGGUGACCGGCCACAUUGGGACUGAGAUACGGCCCAGACUCCUACGGGAGGCAGCAGUGGUGAAUAUUGCACAAUGGGCGGAAGCCUGAUGCAGCAACGCCGCGUGCGGGAUGACGGCCUUCGGGUUGUAAACCGCUUUCGCCUGUGACGAAGCGUGAGUGACGGUAAUGGGUAAAGAAGCACCGGCUAACUACGUGCCAGCAGCCGCGGUGAUACGUAGGGUGCGAGCGUUGUCCGGAUUUAUUGGGCGUAAAGGGCUCGUAGGUGGUUGAUCGCGUCGGAAGUGUAAUCUUGGGGCUUAACCCUGAGCGUGCUUUCGAUACGGGUUGACUUGAGGAAGGUAGGGGAGAAUGGAAUUCCUGGUGGAGCGGUGGAAUGCGCAGAUAUCAGGAGGAACACCAGUGGCGAAGGCGGUUCUCUGGGCCUUUCCUGACGCUGAGGAGCGAAAGCGUGGGGAGCGAACAGGCUUAGAUACCCUGGUAGUCCACGCUGUAAACGGUGGGUACUAGGUGUGGGGUCCAUUCCACGGGUUCCGUGCCGUAGCUAACGCUUUAAGUACCCCGCCUGGGGAGUACGGCCGCAAGGCUAAAACUCAAAGGAAUUGACGGGGCCCCGCACAAGCGGCGGAGCAUGCGGAUUAAUUCGAUGCAACGCGUAGAACCUUACCUGGGUUUGACAUGGAUCGGGAGUGCUCAGAGAUGGGUGUGCCUCUUUUGGGGUCGGUUCACAGGUGGUGCAUGCCUGUCGUCAGCUCGUGUCGUGAGAUGUUGGGUUAAGUCCCGCAACGAGCGCAACCCUUGUUCACUGUUGCCAGCACGUUAUGGUGGGGACUCAGUGGAGACCGCCGGGGUCAACUCGGAGGAAGGUGGGGAUGACGUCAAGUCAUCAUGCCCCUUAUGUCCAGGGCUUCACGCAUGCUACAAUGGCUGGUACAGAGAGUGGCGAGCCUGUGAGGGUGAGCGAAUCUCGGAAAGCCGGUCUCAGUUCGGAUUGGGGUCUGCAACUCGACCUCAUGAAGUCGGAGUCGCUAGUAAUCGCAGAUCAGCAACGCUGCGGUGAAAACGUUCCCGGGGCU